AGUGAACGCUGGCGGUAGGCCUAACACAUGCAAGUCGAACGGCAGCACAGUAAGAGCUUGCUCUUACGGGUGGCGAGUGGCGGACGGGUGAGGUAUACAUCGGAAUCUACUUUUUCGUGGGGGAUAACGUAGGGAAACUUACGCUAAUACCGCAUACGACCUACGGGUGAAAGCAUGGGAUCUUCUGACCUUGCGCGAUUGAAUGAGCCGAUGUCGGAUUAGCUAGUUGGCGGGGUAAAGGCCCACCAAGGCGACGAUCCGUAGCUGGUCUGAGAGGAUGAUCAGCCACAGUGGAACAGAGACACGGUCCAGAGUACUACGGGAGGCAGCAGAGGGGAAUAUAGGAAAAAGGGAGCAAGAAUAAAAAAGGAAAACCGCGUGGGUGAAGAAGGACUGAGGGUUGUAAAGACGUUUUGUUGGGAAAGAAAAGAAGCAGGUUAAAACACCGAUGUUCUGACGGUACAAAAAGAAUAAGCAACGGCUAACUACGUG
This 492-nucleotide ribosomal RNA is filed under the name uncultured bacterium. Its description in RNAcentral is "partial 16S ribosomal RNA". It matches the Rfam family "Bacterial small subunit ribosomal RNA", at positions 29 to 507 of the family's 1533-position model. The record is from RNAcentral.